RNAcentral lists this long non-coding RNA (1017 nucleotides) under Hordeum vulgare. RNAcentral describes it as "long non-coding RNA (HVUL_LNC017945)". Lineage: Eukaryota; Viridiplantae; Streptophyta; Magnoliopsida; Poales; Poaceae. The record is from RNAcentral.
GGUUGUAAGCGCUUUCUUAGUAUGUGCACAUUCUGAGCUGAGUACAUAUAGUGGAUCUAGUAGGGACACUUUUUUCAAUUGGGAUCUAGUAGGCUUUUAACAUCACUAGCAUUACAUGUUCUAUCUGCACUUGUACAACACCUCCACAGGAUGGGUUGGUUUUUUGAGAUGGAGGAUGGAUUGGCUAGCUAGAGCAACUCUAGCACACCCCGCAUCCCGCCGGUCCGCAAAACGCGUUUGCAGUUCGCGCGAAAUCCCUUUUAUGGGCCGACGCGGGCUGGCAUGGAUGCAGACCCCCUAAACGGAUCCGUAAAAAAAAAUAUUCGCGGAAUAUGCUUUUUUACGGGUCGGCUUCUGCGGGUUCUCCUCGGGCUCCACCGCGACGACCCGCAAACAGAAAAACUGUAAAUCUCGCAUUUGACAUAGGGUUUGGCAAACAAGUUCAAAUUCAAACGACAUAAACAGUUUGCGUGCAAAUAAAAGCGAAGUUCAUUACGCAAAAGAGGUCCUCGACGGUGACGGGGGACAGCAUGGGGUCCUCCAUGGCGGCGAGGAACGGCCGGGGAGGAGGAACCGGAGCUUGCGGAGGGGGGGCAAUGGUGGCGGAGGGUGCGGGGAGCGGGAAAGGGCGCCUGGAAAUGUCCCUCCCGCCAAAUCUCGCGUCGGAUAGGGGUUCAGCUCGGGUCGGCCCCCCAGCCCGUGAAGAUAGAGGUUGAGGGAGAAGAUUUACCGCGCCCCGCAAAAAAAAUUGCGGGCCGAGGCGGGAUGCGGGGUCUGAUCGUGCGGAUUUUCCGGCCCCGACCCGCAAUUUGGCGGUUAUUUUGCGGACCGGGACGGGAUGCGGGGUCUGCUAGAGUUGCUCUUAGCCCGCUAUAUUCACUUCCAUAUUCUUCUUGUAUUCACCCUCUAUUUCUUUUGUAAUGAUUAUAGGCUCACUAGGAUUGUCUAUCACUAGUUGUUGUUGAAAUACUCGGUUUUCCAAAUCAGGUCGUGGAUCAUUAUUUCUCACACGCGACU